UACGGAGGGGACUAGCGUUGUUCGGAAUUACUGGGCGUAAAGCGCGCGUAGGCGGAUCAGCAAGUUAGGGGUGAAAUCCCGGGGCUCAACCCCGGAACUGCCCUUAAAACUGCUGGUCUUGAGUUCGAGAGAGGUGAGUGGAAUUCCGAGUGUAGAGGUGAAAUUCGUAGAUAUUCGGAGGAACACCAGUGGCGAAGGCGGCUCACUGGCUCGAUACUGACGCUGAGGUGCGAAAGCGUGGGGAGCAAACAGG
This 253-nucleotide ribosomal RNA is filed under the name uncultured bacterium. RNAcentral describes it as "partial 16S ribosomal RNA". It matches the Rfam family "Bacterial small subunit ribosomal RNA", at positions 524 to 776 of the family's 1533-position model. The record is from RNAcentral.